CACAUGCAAGUCGAGCGGUAGCACAGAGAGCUUGCUCUCGGGUGACGAGCGGCGGACGGGUGAGUAAUGUCUGGGAAACUGCCUGAUGGAGGGGGAUAACUACUGGAAACGGUAGCUAAUACCGCAUAACGUCGCAAGACCAAAGUGGGGGACCUUCGGGCCUCAUGCCAUCAGAUGUGCCCAGAUGGGAUUAGCUAGUAGGUGGGGUAACGGCUCACCUAGGCGACGAUCCCUAGCUGGUCUGAGAGGAUGACCAGCCACACUGGAACUGAGACACGGUCCAGACUCCUACGGGAGGCAGCAGUGGGGAAUAUUGCACAAUGGGCGCAAGCCUGAUGCAGCCAUGCCGCGUGUGUGAAGAAGGCCUUCGGGUUGUAAAGCACUUUCAGCGGGGAGGAAGGCGGUGAGGUUAAUAACCUUGUCGAUUGACGUUACCCGCAGAAGAAGCACCGGCUAACUCCGUGCCAGCAGCCGCGGUAAUACGGAGGGUGCAAGCGUUAAUCGGAAUUACUGGGCGUAAAGCGCACGCAGGCGGUCUGUCAAGUCGGAUGUGAAAUCCCCGGGCUCAACCUGGGAACUGCAUUCGAAACUGGCAGGCUAGAGUCUUGUAGAGGGGGGUAGAAUUCCAGGUGUAGCGGUGAAAUGCGUAGAGAUCUGGAGGAAUACCGGUGGCGAAGGCGGCCCCCUGGACAAAGACUGACGCUCAGGUGCGAAAGCGUGGGGAGCAAACAGGAUUAGAUACCCUGGUAGUCCACGCCGUAAACGAUGUCGAUUUGGAGGUUGUGCCCUUGAGGCGUGGCUUCCGGAGCUAACGCGUUAAAUCGACCGCCUGGGGAGUACGGCCGCAAGGUUAAAACUCAAAUGAAUUGACGGGGGCCCGCACAAGCGGUGGAGCAUGUGGUUUAAUUCGAUGCAACGCGAAGAACCUUACCUGGUCUUGACAUCCACAGAACUUAGCAGAGAUGCUUUGGUGCCUUCGGGAACUGUGAGACAGGUGCUGCAUGGCUGUCGUCAGCUCGUGUUGUGAAAUGUUGGGUUAAGUCCCGCAACGAGCGCAACCCUUAUCCUUUGUUGCCAGCGGUCCGGCCGGGAACUCAAAGGAGACUGCCAGUGAUAAACUGGAGGAAGGUGGGGAUGACGUCAAGUCAUCAUGGCCCUUACGACCAGGGCUACACACGUGCUACAAUGGCAUAUACAAAGAGAAGCGACCUCGCGAGAGCAAGCGGACCUCAUAAAGUAUGUCGUAGUCCGGAUUGGAGUCUGCAACUCGACUCCAUGAAGUCGGAAUCGCUAGUAAUCGUAGAUCAGAAUGCUACGGUGAAUACGUUCCCGGGCCUUGUACACACCGCCCGUCACACCAUGGGAGUGGGUUGCAAAAGAAGUAGGUAGCUUAACCUUCGGGA
This 1403-nucleotide ribosomal RNA is filed under the name Klebsiella pneumoniae. Its description in RNAcentral is "bacterial SSU rRNA". It matches the Rfam family "Bacterial small subunit ribosomal RNA". The record is from RNAcentral. Lineage: Bacteria; Pseudomonadati; Pseudomonadota; Gammaproteobacteria; Enterobacterales; Enterobacteriaceae.